Long non-coding RNA from Oncorhynchus tshawytscha (Chinook salmon), 2925 nucleotides. RefSeq lists it as uncharacterized. The transcript is spliced from 2 exons. The record is from RefSeq and is a predicted model, not a curated record. Lineage: Eukaryota; Metazoa; Chordata; Actinopteri; Salmoniformes; Salmonidae.
UACUGCCUCUGAUCUGGAGGACUCACUAAACACAUUCUUUGUUUGUAAAUUAUGUGUGAGUGUUGGAGUGUGCCCCUGGCUAUCCGUAAAUGUCAACAAAAAAAAUUGGUGCCCUCUGGUUUUUCUUAAUGUAAGGAAUUUGACGUUUUACUUUUGAUACUUAAGUACAUUUUAUCAAUUACAUUUACUUUUGACACUUAAGUAUAUUUAAAACCAAAUACUUUUAUACUUCUACUCAAGUAGUAUUUUACUGGAUGACUUUCACUUUUACUUGAGUAUGAUAAUUUGGGACUUUUCCACCACUGCAAUUGAGUGCAGGAAAUGCUGAAAUUAUAAAAGUGCUCAUUAAAAUCACUUACAAUGUAUGUGUUGCCACCCUAGGACUACUCAUUAAGCAAAUGUAGAACACUUAUUAUUCAAAACUCAAAAAUACCGUCUUAUUUAAAAAUUAAUAAAAAAUAUCGUUAUAUAAUAUUUUGGCCAUUUCACCUAGUCUCACACCAAUUUUUCAGUUUGUGCUCCAAAAUCCAUUUUGCUCUCGCAACUGUUUACUAUAAUUUUAUAACCAGUGGAAAUUCUAGCCAAUGAACAUAGCCUGUAGCAGUCUACUGAAACGCAAUUGGUCUGGUUUUUGGACAAAUCACGGCUUGACUGCGCUCUAACCGGAUGUUUUACCAUAGAGAUGAAACGAAGGCUGACCAUCAUGAAAAGGUAAGUAUGAUAGUUUUUCAGUAGAGAAUUAGCUUAUCAACUAGCUCGCUAAUCGACUAUGAUUUCAAAAUUGAAAUAGUAAGUAGUUAUUUAUUCUCUUAUAAAAGCAGGCUAUUGACGAGGCAAGCUAGGUUAACGUCAGCUAGCUAGGAAGCUAACUAGCCAAAGUUAACAUUUAAACGUGGUUUAACUAAAGCCAAGGUGGUUUUGUUUUCUAUACCAUCUCUGGCUAAGUCAAGGAGGGGUUUAGAAGAGGAGGAAGACUUGGAAGACCAGCAUGGGUGGCAGAAGAGGGAGGAGAGGCAGGGUGAGAACAGACAGGGAUGACCUUCACUGGGGAAGAGGUCAGUGAUUGAGGAGAGGGAGCCAAGAGAUGUCAGACUUUGAACCAAAUAAUAGCCAAUAUUGUAAACCGCUAACUGCAUACUUUGAGAUACAAAUCUUUUUUAAUCAGAUUGUUAACUUUUACUCUGUCAGUUUUUGCACAGUUACAAUAAAUGAGAAUGACCUCAAACCGUUUCUCUCAUUGCUCUUUCCAUCCAGAUCCACUGUCAUGAAUUUAUUCUCUGCUCAGCUGACAAGAUACAAGAUCCAUUCUGUUCCAAGACACAGGUCGUGUGUGUGUGUGUGUGUGUGUGUGUGUAGAGAGAGAACACAUUUGACGAGGUGGAGUCUGGCUUCUACUUCAUCUCCCUGGACUACUACACAACUCAGCACAUAUGUGUUGCUCCACCUUCCCCAGUGACCUACUUUUGUUUACUUUUUAACAAUGUCUAUGGAUCGUAAAAUAAUUUUAUGUUGGGACUUCAAAUCCACGCUAAAUGUAAUUCUAUGUCCUGUAUUGUUCUGCACUCUCUAAAGAUUAUGCUAAUGCCCCACUGUAAGAACCUGGAGAAACUGGUUCUGAGGGAGGUGACAUGGUCACAAAGAGUGCCUGGGGCACUUUCCAGCUCUACGGCUGUCUGGACAACAGCCAGAGUGUGGUCAGCUCUGCUGCACCUGAGAGCUAAAGGUAUGUCACCACACUCCCAACAGUCAUGUAUGCUCAUUUAUGUGUUUCUUAAAGUGGCGAUCAGCAGUUGAAACAAUUUAAAAAUGUACUCCCUACCCAUUUUGGCAAAAAGCUGAGGAAUGGACCUAGAGAAAUUUGACCACUCUCAAAUUCAUAAACAGAGUUAUGGAUGCAAGGACUGACCAUCACGCCUCCUUCUAAAACCCUAUUAGAGGAGACAACCCAAGGUUCCUCGCCUCAGAUCCCCCUCCAAUGGGUUUUGACAAGGAUGUGAGUAGAGAGGAAGUGAGGAGUUGAGCAGAGAUUAAUUGGGACAGAGCUCGUCAUUGUUUUAGGUGGAAACUUAUAUUGAAUGAUAUGUUUAUUCUGUUUGCACUUAUCUUUGUUCUACUUGUGCUCUUUGCACAGAUGGCUCUGGCUUGCUCAUAACAUCUGAUCUGACACCCUAUGCAAUUUUUAUCCUGUAUUACUGACUGUAUUCAAUACAACUGCAAAUGUCAAAUUGAAAUAAUUUUAGAUUCUGUAAUUAAUAGACAAUGGUAGUUCCCAAUCAGAAAAUGACGGUCUGCUGAGAAUGUCAUUGGCUGCAACCUGCCCUCCAUCAAGGUCCUGCACGACUCCAGGGAAAGGAAGGCUGGAGUAAAGAUCAUCGCCAAACCCUCCCACUUCCAAAGUUUCCCCUCUGGCAAACGGUUCAGGUCAAUCAUGACCAAAACCUCCUGAACAGUUUCUUCCCCCGUGCUGUGGGCCUCACUAACCGGUCACCUAGUCCAUGAUGAUCUUCUCAUCCAUGGAUGUCUCACUCUGCACUAUUCAUUCAGUGACUAUGCACCCUGCACUAUCAUUCCAGAACUGCACAUUGCUCUUUGUACUCUGCACAUUUCUUACAUGCAUAAUUUAUAAUGUAGCAUAUAGUGUUCAUAGUGUACAUCCUGUAUGUGGAUCUUUGGAAAUUCUGCAUCUAUAUAUAUUUUGUUCUGUAUAUUCUGUUUAUUGUGGCAGCACCAUUUCACAGUCAAAUUCCUCUACAUACAAAUGUAUUCUGCCAUGUUAACCUGAGUUUAGUUGGUUUAUCAUGUCAGUUGGAGUUUACAUUAUAUUAUUUGGGACUGGUUAUGUACUGUAGCAGGUAACAGAUUAUACCCUUUGUCUUCAUAUAAUAAAAAAUCCUGUGUGUGUGUCCUUGGGCUUAAUACCCUAAA